RNAcentral lists this ribosomal RNA (269 nucleotides) under uncultured bacterium. RNAcentral describes it as "partial 16S ribosomal RNA". It matches the Rfam family "Bacterial small subunit ribosomal RNA", at positions 524 to 776 of the family's 1533-position model. The record is from RNAcentral.
UACGGAGGGUGCGAGCGUUGUCCGGAAUCACUGGGCGUAAAGGGCGCGUAGGUGGCUACUCAAGCGCGCGGUGAAAGCCCGGGGCUCAACCCCGGGUCGGCCGUGCGGACUGGGAGGCUCGAGCACUGUAGGGGCGGGUGGAAUUCCGGGUGUAGCGGUGGAAUGCGUAGAGAUCCGGAAGAACACCGGUGGCGAAGGCGGCCCGCUGGGCAGGAAGGCUCGCAAGAGCCGGCUGACGCUGAGGCGCGACAGCGUGGGGAGCAAACAGG